UGGGGAAUAUUGCGCAAUGGCCGCAAGGCUGACGCAGCGACGCCGCGUGGGGGAGGAAGGUCUUCGGAUUGUAAACCCCUGUUGCCCGGGACGAACGAGUGGUUUCGACCACUGUGACGGUACCGGGUGAGGAAGCACCGGCUAACUCCGUGCCAGCAGCCGCGGUAAUACGGAGGGUGCGAGCGUUGUCCGGAAUCACUGGGCGUAAAGGGCGCGUAGGCGGUCUGCUAAGCGUGCGGUGAAAGCUCGGGGCUUAACUCCGAGUCGGCCAUGCGAACUGGCGGACUGGAGCACUGUAGAGGCGGGUGGAAUUCCGGGUGUAGCGGUGGAAUGCGUAGAGAUCCGGAAGAACACCGGUGGCGAAGGCGGCCCGCUGGGCAGUGGCUGACGCUGAGGCGCG
RNAcentral lists this ribosomal RNA (400 nucleotides) under uncultured bacterium. Its description in RNAcentral is "bacterial SSU rRNA". It matches the Rfam family "Bacterial small subunit ribosomal RNA", at positions 355 to 755 of the family's 1533-position model. The record is from RNAcentral.